RNAcentral lists this ribosomal RNA (436 nucleotides) under Mniovelia kuscheli. Its description in RNAcentral is "partial 16S ribosomal RNA". The record is from RNAcentral. Lineage: Eukaryota; Metazoa; Arthropoda; Insecta; Hemiptera; Mesoveliidae.
GUUCUAUAGAUUUUUAUUUUAGAUUUGACCUGCUCUAUGAUUUAAAGUUAAAUGGCUGCGGUAUUUUAACUGUACUAAGGUAGCAUAAUAAUUUGUCUUUUAAUUGAAGACUAGAAUGAAUGGUUGGAUGAAGGGAAAUCUUUUUUUACUUUAUUGUUUGAAUUUUAUUUUUUAGUCAAAAAGCUUAAAUUUUUUUAUAGGACGAGAAGACCCUAUAGAAUUUUAUUAUUUAAAUUUAAAUAAGUUUUUUUGGUUAUAGUAUUUAUUAAAGUUUAAUUAAUUUUGUUGGGGAGAUUUGAAAAUUAAUAUAACUUUUCAUAAAUUAUUCAUAAAUUAUUGUAUUUUUGUUCCUAAAUUUUAGGUUAUAAGAUUAAAUUACCUUAGGGAUAACAGCGUUAUUUUUUUGGAAAGUUCUUAUUGAUGAAAAAGUUUGCGA